UAGGUUUAUCCGCCCUGGGUUAGUCGGGUCCUAAGGCGAGGCCGACAGGCGUAGUCGAUGGACAACCAGUUGAUAUUCUGGUACCGCGUUGUGACCGCCCAUGCUGACGUCAUUGUGCUAACCAAUCUGCCCGUACCCCCGCAUGACUUUCGGGUUGUGUGGUGUGUGUGGGUCUUGGGGUCCCGGUGAUGGUAGGCAAGCGUGUUAACAGGGGUGACGCAGACAGGUAGCUGCAGUGCGCCGAUGGUUGUGCGUAUUUAAGGUUGUGGCCCGUUCCUCAGGUAAAUCCGGGGGACACGUGGGUGAGAACUGAUGAGGGACACACGCGUGUGUGGACUUGUGGUGAUCCUAAGCUGCCGAGAAAAGCCUCGACGUGAGGGCAUGACGCGCCCGUACCCUAAACCGACUCAGGUGGUCAGGUAGAGUAUACCGAGGCGUUCGAGUGAAUCGUGGUUAAGGAACUCGGCAAAAUUCCUCCGUAACUUCGGGAUAAGGAGGACCCCGUGACUUCCCAACACCGCGCGUGUUGGUGGGGUUGUGGGGUCGCAGAGAAUAGGGAGAAGCGACUGUUUAUCAAAAACACAGGUGCGUGCGAAGCCGUAAGGCGAUGUAUACGCACUGACGCCUGCCCGGUGCUGGAAGGUUAAGAGGAACCGUCAACACCCACUUGUGGGUGUGAAGCGGUGAAUUUAAGCCCCAGUAAACGGCGGUGGUAACUAUAACCAUCCUAAGGUAGCGAAAUUCCUUGUCGGGUAAGUUCCGACCUGCACGAAUGGCGUAACGACUUCUCCGCUGUCUCAACCGCGAACUCGGUGAAAUUGCAGUACGAGUAAAGAUGCUCGUUUCGCGCAGAAGGACGGAAAGACCCCGGGACCUUUACUAUAGCUUGGUAUUGGUGUUCGCUUGGACUUGUGUAGGAUAGGUGGGAGACUGUGAAGCUGCCGCGCCAGCGGUGGUGGAGUCGUCGUUGAAAUACCAUUCUGGUUCAAGCGGUCACCUCAACCUUGGCCCGUGAUCCGGGUUGGGGACAGUGCCUGGUGGGUAGUUUAACUGGGGCGGUUGCCUCCUAAAAUGUAACGGAGGCGCUCAAAGGUUCCCUCAGCCUGGUUGGUAAUCAGGUGGCGAGUGCAAGUGUACAAGGGAGCUUGACUGUGAGACCGACGGGUCGAGCAGGUGCGAAAGCAGGAACUAGUGAUCCGGCCAUGGCACGUGGGUGCGUGGUCGCUCAACGGAUAAAAGGUACCCCGGGGAUAACAGGCUGAUCUUGCCCAAGAGUCCAUAUCGACGGCAUGGUUUGGCACCUCGAUGUCGGCUCGUCGCAUCCUGGGGCUGGAGUUGGUCCCAAGGGUUGGGCUGUUCGCCCAUUAAAGCGGUACGCGAGCUGGGUUCAGAACGUCGUGAGACAGUUCGGUCCCUAUCCUCUGUGCGCGCAGGAAAUUUGAGAAGGGCCGUCCCUAGUACGAGAGGACCGGGAUGGACGAACCUCUGGUGUGCCAGUUGUACCGCCAGGUGCAUGGCUGGUUGGCUACGUUCGGAAGGGAUAACCGCUGAAAGCAUCUAAGCGGGAAGCCUGCUUCAAGAUGAGAUUUCCACGCCCCCCGUGGGUGAGAGGCCCCCGCCAGACGAGCGGGUCGAUAGGCCAGAGGUGGAAGCACCGCGAGGUGCUCGUGAGCCGACUGGUACUAAUGGGCCAACAUU
This 1698-nucleotide ribosomal RNA is filed under the name metagenome. Its description in RNAcentral is "bacterial LSU rRNA". It matches the Rfam family "Bacterial large subunit ribosomal RNA", at positions 1361 to 2925 of the family's 2925-position model. The record is from RNAcentral.